UGACCUCGGAUCAGGUAGGAAUACCCGCUGAACUUAAGCAUAUCAAUAAGCGGAGGAAAA
RNAcentral lists this ribosomal RNA (60 nucleotides) under Trichoderma harzianum. RNAcentral's name for it is "partial 28S ribosomal RNA". It matches the Rfam family "Eukaryotic large subunit ribosomal RNA", at positions 1 to 60 of the family's 3401-position model. Lineage: Eukaryota; Fungi; Ascomycota; Sordariomycetes; Hypocreales; Hypocreaceae. The record is from RNAcentral.